Molecule: ribosomal RNA, 273 nt
Filed under: uncultured bacterium
Lineage: Bacteria
Description: partial 16S ribosomal RNA
Rfam family: Bacterial small subunit ribosomal RNA
Source: RNAcentral
UACGGAGGAUGCGAGCGUUAUCCGGAUUUAUUGGGUUUAAAGGGUGCGUAGGCUGAUACUUAAGUCAGUGGUGAAAUUUUCCGGCUUAACCGGGAGGCUGCCGUUGAUACUGGGUAUCUUGAGUUUAGUUGAUGUGGGCGGAAUGUGUCAUGUAGCGGUGAAAUGCAUAGAGAUGACACAGAACACCGAUAGCGAAGGCAGCUCACAAAGCUAUAACUGACGCUGAGGCACGAAAGCGUGGGGAGCAAACAGGAUUAGAUACCCCCGUAGUCC